AGAUAAGAGAGUGUAAGAUUUACCUUACUUAUCCUUAUCCUUUUAAUGACUCAGCUCUUCUUACCCUUGUACUUUACUAACUCAGCUCUUCUCUGUAAUUACUUGCCCCUCCUUAUACUUACCCCCUCUUAACCCUUAUUUACCAUUCCCUCACCCCCAUCCAAAAUCCUCCAAAAAUCUCACUUUUCAACCCACCAAAUUGGUGGA
This 207-nucleotide unclassified non-coding RNA is filed under the name Hevea brasiliensis (rubber tree). The record is from RNAcentral. Lineage: Eukaryota; Viridiplantae; Streptophyta; Magnoliopsida; Malpighiales; Euphorbiaceae.